RNAcentral lists this unclassified non-coding RNA (240 nucleotides) under soil metagenome. RNAcentral's name for it is "partial contains 5.8S ribosomal RNA, internal transcribed spacer 2, and large subunit ribosomal RNA". The record is from RNAcentral.
AACGAGGCCGACCUGCGGCUGAGUUACCUGCGGAAGGAUCAUUACAGGGGUUUUAAAUGCCAAGCUUUUGGGGGUGGAGCAUUUUUGCUCCCCCUCCGGGCGGCAUUUCAACCACCAUAAUUCACCGUGUGCACUCAUUGGACUAUGGAAUUUUUUUUCCUAGUUCCCAAUCUUUCUACGUCUUAUCAAUUGUCUGAUGUAUUUAAAUUUUGAUAAAAUACAACUUUCAACAACGGAUCU